RNAcentral lists this ribosomal RNA (798 nucleotides) under uncultured Glomus. Its description in RNAcentral is "SSU rRNA". It matches the Rfam family "Eukaryotic small subunit ribosomal RNA", at positions 314 to 1114 of the family's 1831-position model. The record is from RNAcentral. Lineage: Eukaryota; Fungi; Glomeromycota; Glomeromycetes; Glomerales; Glomeraceae.
AUCAACUUUCGAUGGUAGGAUAGAGGCCUACCNNNGUGGUAACGGGUAACGGGGUGUUAGGGCACGACACCGGAGAGGGAGCCUGAGAAACGGCUACCACAUCCAAGGAUGGCAGCAGGCGCGCAAAUUACCCAAUCCCGACACGGGGAGGUAGUGACAAUAAAUAACAAUACGGGGUUCUUUCGGAUUUCGUAAUUGGAAUGAGUACAAUUUAAAUCUCUUAACGAGGAACAAUUGGAGGGCAAGUCUGGUGCCAGCAGCCGCGGUAAUUCCAGCUCCAAUAGCGUAUAUUAAAGUUGCUGCAGUUAAAAAGCUCGUAGUUGAAUUUCGGGACCAAUAUGUCGGUCGUGCCUCGGUACGUACUGGCAUCGUUGGUUUCUCCCUUCUGACGAACCAUGAUGUCAUUUAUUUGGUGUCGUGGGGAAUCAGGACUGUUACUUUGAAAAAAUUAGAGUGUUUAAAGCAGGCUCACGCUUGAAUACAUUAGCAUGGAAUAAUGAAAUAGGACGUUUGAUUCUAUUUUGUUGGUUUCUAGGAUCGACGUAAUGAUUAAUAGGGAUAGUUGGGGGCAUUAGUAUUCAAUUGUCAGAGGUGAAAUUCUUGGAUUUAUUGAAGACUAACUACUGCGAAAGCAUUUGCCAAGGAUGUUUUCAUUAAUCAAGAACGAAAGUUAGGGGAUCGAAGACGAUCAGAUACCGUCGUAGUCUUAACCAUAAACUAUGCCGACUAGGGAUCGGAUGAUGUUAAUUUUUUAAUGACUCAUUCGGCGCCUUACGGGAAACCAAAGUGUUUGGGUUC